Molecule: ribosomal RNA, 447 nt
Filed under: uncultured bacterium
Lineage: Bacteria
Description: partial 16S ribosomal RNA
Rfam family: Bacterial small subunit ribosomal RNA
Source: RNAcentral
AGCGAACGCUGGCGGCAGGCUUAACACAUGCAAGUCGAGCGCCCCGCAAGGGGAGCGGCAGACGGGUGAGUAACACGUGGGAACGUGCCUUUUGGUUCGGAACAACCCAGGGAAACUUGGGCUAAUACCGGAUAAGCCCUUACGGGGAAAGAUUUAUCGCCAAAAGAUCGGCCCGCGUCUGAUUAGCUAGUUGGUGGGGUAAUGGCCCACCAAGGCUACGAUCAGUAGCUGGUCUGAGAGGAUGAUCAGCCACAUUGGGACUGAGACACGGCCCAAACUCCUACGGGGGGCAGCAGUGGGGAAUAUUGGACAAUGGGGGCAACCCUGACCCAGCCAUGCCGCGUGAGUGAUGAAGGCCUUAGGGUUGUAAAGCUCUUUUAGCAGGGAAGAUAAUGACGGUACCUGCAGAAAAAGCCCCGGCUAACUUCGUGCCAGCCGCCGCGGUAA